AUGUUAAUGCCUAUGGGGUGGGUGCUCAAAAUGAAGCUGCAAAGUAGUUUGCCUUGCGUGGACACCGCUCCAUCAACCAAGUCAUCGCGUGGUUGGAAGGACAAGACGUGAAUAAGGAACAGUUGAACAUCAUCAUAAGUGGACUCAUGAGAGCUGAAUAAGGAAUAGUCAAAUAUCAUCAAAACUCGACUCAUCAUACUAUGAUUUUGUCAUUAUCAUAAUUGUAUUGUUUAUUAAAUAAUACAAUUUUUGUUAUUUUUGUAAUUAUAUUGUUUAUCGUUAAAGCAUAUUAGCACAUUU
RNAcentral lists this long non-coding RNA (300 nucleotides) under Helianthus annuus (common sunflower). RNAcentral's name for it is "hypothetical non coding rna". The record is from RNAcentral. Lineage: Eukaryota; Viridiplantae; Streptophyta; Magnoliopsida; Asterales; Asteraceae.